AUGAUUUUAGGUGCUUGCACUUGAAAGAUUUAACAUUGAGACGAGUGGCGAACUGGUGAGUAACACGUGGGUAACCUGCCCUUGAAGUAGGGGAUAACACUUGGAAACAGGUGCUAAUACCGUAUAACAACCAAAACCACCUGGUUUUGGUUUAAAAGACGGCUUCGGCUGUCACUUUAGGAUGGACCCGCGGCGUAUUAGCUUGUUGGUAAGGUAACGGCCUACCAAGGCGAUGAUACGUAGCCGACCUGAGAGGGUAAUCGGCCACAUUGGGACUGAGACACGGCCCAAACUCCUACGGGAGGCAGCAGUAGGGAAUCUUCCACAAUGGACGAAAGUCUGAUGGAGCAACGCCGCGUGAGUGAUGAAGGGUUUCGGCUCGUAAAACUCUGUUGUUGGAGAAGAACAGGUGUCAGAGUAACUGUUGACAUCUUGACGGUAUCCAACCAGAAAGCCACGGCUAACUACGUGCCAGCAGCCGCGGUAAUACGUAGGUGGCAAGCGUUGUCCGGAUUUAUUGGGCGUAAAGCGAGCGCAGGCGGUUUUUUAGGUCUGAUGUGAAAGCCUUCGGCUUAACCGGAGAAGUGCAUCGGAAACCGGGAGACUUGAGUGCAGAAGAGGACAGUGGAACUCCAUGUGUAGCGGUGAAAUGCGUAGAUAUAUGGAAGAACACCAGUGGCGAAGGCGGCUGUCUGGUCUGUAACUGACGCUGAGGCUCGAAA
This 722-nucleotide ribosomal RNA is filed under the name Lentilactobacillus buchneri. RNAcentral's name for it is "bacterial SSU rRNA". It matches the Rfam family "Bacterial small subunit ribosomal RNA", at positions 66 to 758 of the family's 1533-position model. Lineage: Bacteria; Bacillati; Bacillota; Bacilli; Lactobacillales; Lactobacillaceae. The record is from RNAcentral.